GGUGAUAUUUACCUUUAUUGAAUUUAGUUUUUGGAAUACACAAAAACCAAUCGGGAAACAAUUUUUUAUUCAUCAGACUUCAUAGAUGACGACUUCAUAGAUGACGUUCGAAAUAUGUUUCUAAGGCUAUUCUUACUCUCCUUUUUUCUCUUUCCAACUUUACCCAACUCGUUUUCCAACAAUAACCCUCUCUCAAGCCGUCUUGAAACCGACACAAUUUCAUAAGAAUCCCAAAGUGAUUGCUUGAAAUCCCAACUCGUCGAAAGCCCAUAAUUGUGGUUAUUGUUUCGCGUUGGUUUGGUCAUUGCUUCUUGCUUAAACCGAGUGGGCUUUUUCUUGAAGUUGAGACGACGUGCGUCAAAUUCAUUGGAGUCGGAUGGGGGCGAUGUGGUGGUGUGAAAAGGUUUGUUUUGGGGCCAUGGUUAUGGCUAUAUUUUUCCUAUCUUUUGGACAGAAUGAGAGCCUCACAUGA
RNAcentral lists this long non-coding RNA (472 nucleotides) under Helianthus annuus (common sunflower). RNAcentral's name for it is "sRNA HanXRQr2_Chr02g0051191". Lineage: Eukaryota; Viridiplantae; Streptophyta; Magnoliopsida; Asterales; Asteraceae. The record is from RNAcentral.